This 497-nucleotide ribosomal RNA is filed under the name uncultured bacterium. RNAcentral's name for it is "partial 16S ribosomal RNA". It matches the Rfam family "Bacterial small subunit ribosomal RNA", at positions 28 to 507 of the family's 1533-position model. The record is from RNAcentral.
GACGAACGCUGGCGGCGUGCCUAAUACAUGCAAGUUGAGCGAUGAAGAUUGGUGCUUGCACCAAUUUGAAGAGCAGCGAACGGGUGAGUAACGCGUGGGGAAUCUGCCUUUGAGCGGGGGACAACAUUUGGAAACGAAUGCUAAUACCGCAUAAUAACUUUAAACAUAAGUUUUAAGUUUGAAAGAUGCAAUUGCAUCACUCAAAGAUGAUCCCGCGUUGUAUUAGCUAGUUGGUGAGGUAAAGGCUCACCAAGGCGAUGAUACAUAGCCGACCUGAGAGGGUGAUCGGCCACAUUGGGACUGAGACACGGCCCAAACUCCUACGGGAGGCAGCAGUAGGGAAUCUCCGGCAAUGGACGAAAGUCUGACCGAGCAACGCCGCGGGAGUGAAGAAGGUUUUCGGAUCGUAAAACUCUGUUGGUAGAGAAGAACGUUGGUGAGAGUGGAAAGCUCAUCAAGUGACGGUAACUACCCAGAAAGGGACGGCUAACUACGUG